CUGCAGCUCAAGUGGUGACCGCUAUAUUGGGCCUAAAACGUUCGUAGCCGGUUUAGUAAAUGCCUGGGUAAAUCGAGCCGCUUAACGGUUCGACUUCCGGGUAGACUGCUAAACUUGAGACCGGGAGAGGCUAGAGGUACUCCUGGGGUAGAGGUGAAAUUCUGUAAUCCUGGGGGGACCACCAGUGGCGAAGGCGUCUAGCUAGAACGGGUCUGACGGUGAGGGACGAAGCCCUGGGGCGCAAACCGGAUUAGAUACCCGAGUAGUCC
This 269-nucleotide ribosomal RNA is filed under the name uncultured archaeon. RNAcentral's name for it is "partial 16S ribosomal RNA". It matches the Rfam family "Archaeal small subunit ribosomal RNA", at positions 477 to 747 of the family's 1478-position model. The record is from RNAcentral.